AACGAACGCUGGCGGCAUGCCUAACACAUGCAAGUCGAACGAGACCUUCGGGUCUAGUGGCGCACGGGUGCGUAACGCGUGGGAACCUGCCCUUAGGUUCGGAAUAACUCCCCGAAAGGGGUGCUAAUACCGGAUAAUGUCUUCGGACCAAAGAUUUAUCGCCUUUGGAUGGGCCCGCGUUGGAUUAGCUAGUUGGUAGGGUAAAAGCCUACCAAGGCGACGAUCCAUAGCUGGUCUGAGAGGAUGAUCAGCCACACUGGGACUGAGACACGGCCCAGACUCCUACGGGAGGCAGCAGUGGGGAAUAUUGGACAAUGGGCGAAAGCCUGAUCCAGCAAUGCCGCGUGAGUUAUGAAGGCCUUAGGGUUGUAAAGCUCUUUUACCCGGGAUGAUAAUGACAGUACCGGGAGAAUAAGCUCCGGCUAACUCCGU
RNAcentral lists this ribosomal RNA (432 nucleotides) under uncultured bacterium. Its description in RNAcentral is "partial 16S ribosomal RNA". It matches the Rfam family "Bacterial small subunit ribosomal RNA", at positions 29 to 506 of the family's 1533-position model. The record is from RNAcentral.